Long non-coding RNA from Mus musculus (house mouse), 358 nucleotides. RefSeq annotates it as predicted gene, 41008. NCBI's taxonomy places the organism in Eukaryota, Metazoa, Chordata, Mammalia, Rodentia, Muridae. The transcript is spliced from 3 exons. The record is from RefSeq and is a predicted model, not a curated record.
CGACUUGAAAUGUGAAGAUGUACCGCCUCUUUGCUGUGCCCUGCUGCUCAAGUGUUCUCAGCUUUGACAAUUUAUCAUGCUGGAAAAUGUCUUCAGAAUGUCAGUCACUUCAGCUCCAUGCCUGCCAUUUGCAUGUGGCACACCUGCUGGAGAGAAUCCAGAGGAGAAUGUCUCCCUGCGUGAGGUCAAUCAGCUGUACUCUGCCAUUCUGCACUGCACCCCGAGGUUUCAGUGCCGCACACUUUUAGCAGUGCUGGAUGCAAGCCCUCCGUUACUGCACCAGGGCUAUGCCUGGCUGCCUGCUGCCAUGCUUCCUGCCAAGGUGCUGAUGGACUCACACUCUGAAAACUGUCAGCAA